CCAUCAUUCAGUUGGGCACUCUAGCGAGACUGCCGGUAAUAAACCGGGAGGAAGGUGGGAUGACGUCAAAUCAUCAUGCCCCUUAUGACCUGGGCUACACACGUGCUACAAUGGGAAGGGACAAUAGGUUGCGAAGCCGCGAGGUGGAGCCAAUCCAGCAAAACUUACCCUCAGUUCAGAUUGCAGGCUGCAACUCGCCUGCAUGAAGUUGGAGUUGCUAGUAAACGCAGGUCAGCCAUACUGCGUUGAAUACGUUCCCGGGGCUU
RNAcentral lists this ribosomal RNA (266 nucleotides) under uncultured Anaerolineaceae bacterium. Its description in RNAcentral is "partial 16S ribosomal RNA". It matches the Rfam family "Bacterial small subunit ribosomal RNA", at positions 1118 to 1382 of the family's 1533-position model. Lineage: Bacteria; Bacillati; Chloroflexota; Anaerolineae; Anaerolineales; Anaerolineaceae. The record is from RNAcentral.